GACGAACGCUGGCGGCGUGCUUAACACAUGCAAGUCGAACGGAAAGGCCCCUUUGGGGGUACUCGAGUGGCGAACGGGUGAGUAACACGUGAGUAACCUGCCCUUGACUUCGGGAUAACUUCAGGAAACUGGGGCUAAUACCGGAUAGGAAUCCUUGCUGCAUGGUGGGGGUUGGAAAGCUUCGGCGGUUUUGGAUGGACUCGCAGCUUAUCAGCUUGUUGGUGGGGUAGUGGCUUACCAAGGCUUUGACGGGUAGCCGGCCUGGGAGGGCGACCGGCCACAUUGGGACUGAGAUACGGCCCAGACUCCUACGGGAGGCAGCAGUGGGGAAUAGUGCACAAUGGGCGGAAGCCUGAUGCAGCAACGCCGCGUGCGGGAUGACGGCCUUCGGGUUGUAAACCGCUUUCAGCAGGGGCGAAGCUUGUGGUGACGGUACCUGCAGAAGAAGCACCGGCUAACUACGUG
This 465-nucleotide ribosomal RNA is filed under the name uncultured bacterium. Its description in RNAcentral is "partial 16S ribosomal RNA". It matches the Rfam family "Bacterial small subunit ribosomal RNA", at positions 28 to 507 of the family's 1533-position model. The record is from RNAcentral.